This is a long non-coding RNA of Onychostoma macrolepis, 1870 nucleotides long. RefSeq lists it as uncharacterized. The transcript has 6 exons. Lineage: Eukaryota; Metazoa; Chordata; Actinopteri; Cypriniformes; Cyprinidae. The record is from RefSeq and is a predicted model, not a curated record.
ACGCUGCAGCGGCGGGAGUUUCCAUGGAAACGGUGAGCAACACUGUAACUGACGAAGAGUAAAUCUCUGUCUCUCCUGCUGUUUUCACUGCUUCCAGAAAUGUUUUACAGUCUUCGAAAAAGUCCGCUAGCAUCUGUUUUCAGGCGAGGAGUGAUAACAUAAUCUUUCUACAAAGGAAGAGAAGCUCCAAGAUUUCAAAAUUCCUGAAGGGAGCUGCUGACAGAAAUGCAGAAAACACAGAUUAUGAUGGCCGUGCAGCAGAGGAGCGCAGAGUCUCCUGUCGGACAACAUCUCUAAGUUGCUAUACCAUGUUACUAGAUCCUAUGUACCCAGCCUCAACCAUUCAUCAGAAGGACUGUGAAAGCAGGAACUCUUUGAACCACCAGUGGCAGUUUCCACAGGAUGAAAAAGGGCAUAGUAGUGGAUGAUGAGGUCCUGAGACCAUAUGGGGUGAAGAUCAAGACAACCAAACCAAAGGUGGACUGUAACCUACUGGACUAUAUGAUAGACUUCAUACUGACCACUACUGCCAUGUAUGCAGCAUGAAAAGUUUUUGAAAAAAGGGGCAUUUCCUUCACCAAGUAAAAGUGUGGAGGAUUCAUCUGGCCUUCAUCGGCCCCCAUGAGGUGACUCGAUGUAGAAUAAAUCAACUUGCUUUAGGCUUGAAAUGACUGAAAUCUUCUCAUGUGAGUUGAUAUCAUUUUAAACAUUCUUAAAAGUACUUCUCAUUUCUUGUGAAUGUAUUUUGUAGUAUGUGUAAAACUUUUCCACUGAAAGAACCUUUUUUACCUUUAUUGAUAUUGUAAUCAAGAUUGUUAAUGCGACCUUGAUGCACCCGAUGGACUGCACACAUCUGCCUGUAUUGGGCUUGUGUUUACAGGUUGUAUAAAACUAGGCCUGGCUGCAACAACUAAUCGAUAAUGAAAAUAAUCAUCAACGAAUUUGAAUAGUGCAUCAAAACAAACAGACCGCUCAUAAUUCUGACUAAAAUACACAUUUUACAUUAGAAAUUUAGAAAUUAAGUGUAGGUUUAAAACCCUACAUGUAACACAAGUAAUCAUAUUUAUGAGAGCAGUAACAGUAAAGGCACUAUUGUUGGAACUGUCCAUUAAUAUAAUAAAAUAUAAUUGCUCUGUUCAGACGAAUGAUUGUUUAUUCUUCGUACCUAUUACAAGUUAACAUUGUGUUUUUUUGUUUAAAUUGUUUUAAAUUCUGUUUCAAAAUAACAAGCAAUCUGUUGUUUUUAGGUUUAGAAUGUAAUGUUUGUAUUUUAAGACUUUAAUGCUUAUAAUGAACAGCAGAGCCUACAUAGAGAAAUUACAUUCUUUAAAAUAAUGGAUUAAAAUUAUUUUAAUUAAAAAAUUAUGUAUAUAUUUUAUUUAUUUAUUUAUUUGUCAUCCAAUUACUAGUAUUAAUAAAAAAAAUCUACAAAUAAAUUGGUUAUCCAAAAAAAUUGUUAGUUGCAUGCAGCCCUACAAAAGAUGUUGUUAAAGAGGUCGGCGGUAUAAUGUUGUGUGUGAACACGAAGUCAUGUUUAUUUGUACAACAUGUAAUUAAUUUCUAUAGAGAUAAUGCAUUAUUACAGUGAAACAAUUUGCUAUUUUUAUUUUGUAAAUUAGCAGAAAACCAUCUCUACCACUGCAGUGCUUUAUCACUAUUUUUUAAAUAAAGUUAUAGUUCAUAGUUCUGAAUCAUUUUGACAUGUGACAACAAUAUUUUGUUUCAGAUGAUGUAACUGCUAUAAUAAAGCCUGUAUCAUAGAAUAGUAACUUGUCAUUCUGUUUUUAUUUUGUAGAUGUUUGUUGAAUAACUAGGCUUAAAUGUAAUUUGAGGUACUUUAGUAAAACCAUGGUUAAACUAUGGUAUUACA